UCAAAGCAAGGGAUCCCAAUUUUCCUGUUUGGGAAAAUGACAACUUCUUCGCCAGUCUAAUCAAACAAGGAUGAAUAACGGUGUAAGAUGGUUGAUUUGGAUACAUAAAAUAGUAGAGACUCACUAGGAAGUUGAAUAAAUCUCAUAGGAGUUAGGAUGAUGAAGCUAUCCCACUGUCAAAUUAGGUGAUCCCAGUUUUCCUGUUUGGGAAUAUAACAACUUCUUCUUCAUUCUAAUCAAACCAUGAUGAAUCACGGUGUAAGAAACUUGAUUUGGAUACAUAAAGUAGUGGACAAUCACCAGGAAGUUGAAUAAAUGUCAUAGGAGUUAGGAUGAAGAAGCUAUCCCACUUUCAAAGCAAGGGAUCCCAGUUUUCUUGUUUGGGAAUAUGACAACUUCUUCGUCAUUCUAAUCAAACCAAGAUGAGUCGCGAUGUAAAAUCUUGAUUUGGAUACAUAAUGUAUUGGACAAUCACCAGGAAGUUCAAUAAAUUUCAUAGGAGUUAGGAUGAAGAAUCUAUCCCACUUUCAAAGCAAGGGAUCCCAGUUUUCUUGUUUGGGAAAAUGACAACUUCUUCCUCAUUCUAAUCAAACCAGGAUGAAUCGCGAUGUAAAAAGCUUGAUUUGGAUACAUAAAGUAGUGGAGACUCACCGGGAAGUUGAAUAAAUUUCAUUGGAGUUUGUAUAAAGAAGAUAUCCCACUUUCAAAGCAAGGGAUCCUAGUUUUCCUGUUUUUGAAUUUGACAACUUCUUCGUCAUUCUAAUCAAACCAGGACUAGUCGCGAUGUAAAAAUCUUGAUUUGGAUACAUAAAAUAGUGGAGACUCAACAGGAUGUUGAAUAAACUCAUAGGAGUUAGGAUGAAAAGGCAAUCCCACUUUCAAAUCUGGUGAUCCCACUUUUCCUGUUUGGGAAUUUGACAACUUCUUCGUCAUUCUAAUCAAACCAAGAUGAAUCCCGGUGUAAGAAGCUUGAUUUGGAUCCAUAAUGUAGUGGAGAAUCAGCAGGAAGUUGAAUAAAUCUUAUAGGAGUUAGGAUGAAGAAGCUACCCCACUUUCAAAGCAAGGGAUCCCAGUUUUUCUGUUUGGGAAUAUGACAACUUCUUCGUCCUUCUAAUCAAACCAGGAUGAAUCACGGUGUAAGAAGCUUUAUUUGGAUACAUAAUGUAGUGGAGAAUCACCAGGAAGUUGAAUAAAUCUUAUAGGAGUUAGGAUGAAGAAGCUAUCCCACUUUCAAACAAAGGGAUCCCAAUUUUCCUGUUUGGGAAUAUGACAACUUCUUCGUCAUUCUAAUAAAACAACGAUGAGCCGGGAUGAAAGAAGCUUGAUUUGGAUACAUAAAGUAGUGGACAAUCACCAGGAAGUUGAAUAAAUGUAAUAGGAGUUAUGAUGAAGAAGUUAUCCCACUUUCAAAGAAAGAGAUCCCAGUUUUCUCGUUUGGAAAUAUGACAACUUCUUCGUCAUUCUAAUCAAACCAAGAUGAGUCGCGAUGUAAGAAUCUUGAUUUGGAUACAUAAAGUAGUGGACAAUCACCAGGAAGUUCAAUAAAUUUCAUAAGAGUUAGGAUGAAGAAGCUAUCCCAUUUUCAAAGCAAGGGAUCCCAGUUUUCAUGUUUGGGAAAAUGACAACUUGUAUGUCAUUCUAAUCAAACCAGGAUGAAUCGCGAUGUAAGAAGCUUGAUUUGGAUACAUAAAGUAGUGGAGACUCACCAGGAAGUUAAAUAAAUCUCAUAGGAGUUAGGAUGAAGAAACUACCCCACUUUCAAAGCAACAGAUACCAAUUUUCCUGUUUAAGAAAAUGACAACUUCUUCGUCAGUCUAAUCAAACCAGGAUGAAUCACGGUGUAAGAAGGAUUAUUUGGAUACAUGACAUAGUAGAGACUCACCAGGAAGUUGAAUAAAUCUCAUAGGAGUUAGGAUGAUGAAGCUAUCCCACUGUCAAAUCAGGUGAUCCUAGUUUUCCUGUUUCGGAAUAUAGCAACUUCUUCGUCAUUCAAAUCAUACCAAUAUGAGUCGCGAUGUAAGAAUCUUGAUUUGGAUACAUAAAGUAGUGGACAAUCACCAAUAAGUUCAAUAAAUUGCAUAGGAGUUAGGAUGAAGAAGCUAUCCCACUUUCACAGCAAGGGAUCCCAGUUUCCUGUUUGGGAAUAUGACAACUUCUUCGUCCUUCUAAUCAAACCAGGAUGAAUCACGGUGUAAGAACCUUGAUUUGGAUACAUAAUGGAGUGCAGAAUCACCAGGAAGUUGAAUAAAUCUUAUAGGAGUUAGGAUGAAGAAGCUAUCCCACUUUCAAACAAAGGGAUCCCAAUUUUCCUGUUUGGGAAUAUGACAACUUCUUCGUCAUUCUAAUCAAACCAGGAUGAGUCGGGAUGUAAGAAGCUUGAUUUGGAUACAUAAAGUAGUGGACAAUCACCAGGAAGUUGAAUAAAUGUAAUAGGAGUUAGGAUGAAGAAGUUAUCCCACUUUCAAAGCAAGAGAUCCCAGUUUUCUCGUUUGGAAAUAUGACAACUUCUUCGUCAUUCUAAUCAAACCAAGAUGACUCACGAUGUAAGAAUCUUGAUUUGGAUACAUAAAGUAGUGGACAAUCACCAGGAAGUUCAAUAAAUUUCAUAGGAGUUAGGAUGAAGAAGCUAUCCCACUUUCAAAGCAAGGGAUCCCAGUUUUCAUGUUUUGGAAAAUGACAACUUGUUCGUCAUUCUAAUCAAACCAGGAUGAAUCGCGAUGUAAGAAGCUUGAUUUGGAUACAUAAAGUAGUGGAGACUCACCAGGAAGUUGAAUAAAUCUCAUAGGAGUUAGGAUGAAGAAGCUACCCCACUUUCAAAGCAACGGAUCCCAAUUUUCCUGUUUGAGAAAAUGACAACUUCUUUGUCAGUCUAAUCAAACCAGGAUGAAUCACGGUGUAAGAAGGUUGAUUUGGAUACAUAAAAUAGCAGAGACUCCCUAGGAAGUUGAAUAAAUCUCAUAGGAGUUAGGAUGAUGAAGCUAUCCCACUGUCAAAUCAGGUGAUCCCAGUUUCCCUGUCUCGCAAUAUAACAACUUCUUCGUCAUUCUAAUCAAACCAGGAUGAAUCAGGAUGAUGAAGCUAUCCCACUGUCAAAUCAGGUGAUCCCAGUUUUCCUGUUUGGGAAUAUGACAACUUCUUCGUCCCUGUCUCGCAAUAUAACAACUUCUUCGUCAUUCUUAUCAAACCAGGAUGAACCGCGAUGUAAGAAGCUUGAUUUGGAUACAUAAAAUAGCAGAGACUCCCUAGGAAGUUGAAUAAAUCUUAUAGGAGUUAGGAUGAUGAAGCUAUCCCACUGUCAAAUCAGGUGAUCCCAGUUUUCCUGUUUGGGAAUAUGACAACUUCUUCGUCCCUGUCUCGCAAUAUAACAACUUCUUCGUCAUUCUUAUCAAACCAGGAUGAACCGCGAUGUAAGAAGCUUGAUUUGGAUACAUAAAAUAGCAGAGACUCCCUAGGAAGUUGAAUAAAUCUUAUAGGAGUUAGGAUGAUGAAGCUAUCCCACUGUCAAAUCAGGUGAUCCCAGUUUUCCUGUUUGGGAAUAUGACAACUUCUUCGUCCCUGUCUCGCAAUAUAACAACUUCUUCGUCAUUCUUAUCAAACCAGGAUGAACCGCGAUGUAAGAAGCUUGAUUUGGAUACAUAAAAUAGCAGAGACUCCCUAGGAAGUUGAAUAAAUCUUAUAGGAGUUAGGAUGAUGAAGCUAUCCCACUGUCAAAUCAGGUGAUCCCAGUUUUCCUGUUUGGGAAUAUGACAACUUCUUCGUCAUUCUAAUCAAACCAAGAUGAGUCGUGAUGUAAGAAUCUUGAUUUGGAUACAUAAAGUGGUGAACAAUCACCAGGAAGUUCAAUAAAUUUCAUAGGAGUUAGGAUGAAGAAGCUAUCCCACUUUCAAAGCAAGGGAUCCCAGUUUUCAUGUUUGGGAAAAUGACAACUUGUUUGUCAUUCUAAUCAAACCAGGAUGAAUCACGUUGUAAGAAGCUUGAUUUGGAUACAUAAAGUAGUGGAGACUCACCAGGAAGUUGAAUAAAUCUCAUAGGAGUUAGGAUGAAGAAGCUAUCCCACUUUGAAAGCAAGGGAUCCCAAUUUUCCUGUUUGGGAAAAUGACAACUUCUUCGUCAGUCAAUCAAACCAGGAUGAAUCACCUUGUAAGAAGGUUGAUUUGGAUACAUAAAAUAGUAGAGACUAAUCAUGAAGUUGAAUAGAUCUCAUAGGGGUUAGGAUGAUGAAGCUAUCCCACUGUCAAAUCAGGUGAUCCCAGUUUUCCUGUUUGGGAAUAUAACAACUUCUUCGUCAUUGUAAUCAAACCAUGAUAAAUCACAGUGUAAGAAGCUUGAUUUGGAUACAUAAAGUAGUGGACAAUCACCAGAAAGUUGAAUAAAUGUCAUAGGAGUUAGGAUGAAAAAGCUAUACCACUUUCAAAGCAAGGGAUCCCAGUUUCUUGUUUAGGAAUAUGACAACUUCUUCGUCAUUCUAAUCUAACCAAGAUGAGUCGCGAUGUAAUAAUCUUGAUUUGGAUACAUAAAGUAGUGGACAAUCACUCGGAAAUUCAAUAAAUUUCAUAGGAGUUAGGAUGAAGAAUCUAUCCCACUUUCAAAGCAAGGGAUCUCAGUUUUCCAGUUUGGAAACUGACAACUUUUUCAUCAUUCUAAUCAAACCAGGAUGAAUUGCGAUGUAAGAAGCUUGAUUUGGAUACAUAAAGUAGUGGAGACUCACCAGGAAGUUGAAUAAUUUUCAUAGGAGUUAGUAUGAAGAAGUUAUCCCACUUUCAAAGCAAGGGAUCUCAGUGUUCCUGUUUUUUAAUAUGACAACUUCUUCGUCAUUCUAAUCAAACCAGGAUGAGUCGCGAUGCAAAAAUCUUGAUUUGGAUCCAUAAAAUAGUGGAGACUCAACAGGAAGUUGAAUAAACUCAUAAGAGUUAGGAUGAAAAAGCAAUCCCACUUUCAAAUCAGGUGAUCCCACUUUUCCUGUAUGGGAAUAUGACAACUUCUCUGUCAUUCUAAUCAAACCUUGAUGAGUGUAGAUGUAAGAAGAUUUAUUUGGAUACAUAAAGUAGUGUUGACUCACCGGGAAGUUAAAUAAAUCUCAUAGGAGUUAGGAUGAAGAAGCUAUCCCACUGUCAAAUCAGGUGAUCCCAGUUUUCAUGUUUGGGAAUAUGACAACUUCUUCGUCAUUCUAAUCAAACCAGGAUGAAUCACGGUGUAAGAAGCUAGAUUUGAGAAGCUAUCCCACGUUCAAAGCAAGGGAUCCCUGUUUUCCUGUUUGGGAUAAAGACAACUUCUUCGUCAUUCUAAUCAAACCAGGAUGAAUCGCGAUGUAAGAAGCUUGAUUUGGAUACAUAAAGUGGUGGAGACUCACCAGGAAGUUGAAUAAAUUUUAUAGGAGUUAGGAUGAAGAAGCUAUCCCACUUUUAAAGCAAAGGAUCCCAGUUUUCCUGUUUGGGAAAAUGACAACUUCUUCGUCAAUCUAAUCAAACCAGGAUGAGUCGCGAAGUAAUAAUAUUGAUUUGGAUACAUAAAAUAGUGGAGAUUCAACAGGAAGUUGAAUAAUCUCACAAGAGUUAGGAUGAAGAAGCUAUCUCACUUUCGAAGCAAGGGAUCCCCGUUUUCCUGUUUGGGAAAAUGAAAACUUCUUCGUCAUUCUAAUCAAAACAGGAUAAAUCGUGAUGUAAGAAGCUUGAUUUGGAUACAUAAAGUAGUGAAGACUCGCCAGGAAGUUGAAUAAAUCUCAUAGGAGUUAGUAUGAAGAAGCUAUCCCACUUUCAAAGCAAGGGGUCCCAAUUUUCCUGUUUGGGAAUAUGACAACUUUUUCGUCAUUCUUAUCAAACCAGGAAGAGUCGGGAUGUAAGAAGCUUGAUUUGGAUACAUAAAGUAGGAGACAAUCACCAGGAAGUUGAAUAAAUUUCAUAGGAGUUAGGAUGAAGAAGCUAUCCCCCUUUCAAAGCAAGGGAUUCCAGUUUUCCUGUUUUUGAAUAUGACAACUUCUUCGUCAUUCUAAUAAAACCAGGAUGAGUGUCGAUGUAAGAAGAUUGAUUUGGAUACAUAAAGUAGUGGAGACUCACCAGGAAGUUGAAUAAAUCUCAUAGGAGUUAGGAUGAAGAAGCUAUCCCACUUUCAAAUCAGGUGAUCCCAGUUUUCCAGUUUGGGAAUAUGACAACUUCUUCAUCAUUCUAAUCAAACCAGUAUGAAUCACUGUGUAAGAAGUUUGAUUUGGAUACAUAAAAUAGUGGAGAAUAACCAGGAAGUUAAAUAAAUCUCAUAGUAGUUAGGAUGAAGAAGCUACCUCACUUUCAAAGCAUGGGAUCCCAGCUUUUAUGGUUGGGAAUAUGACAACUUCUUCGUCAUUUUAAUCAAACCAGGAUGAGUCGCGAUGUAAAAAUCUUGAUUUGGAUACAUAAAAUAGUGGAGACUCACCAUGUAGUUGAAUAAACUCAUAGGAGUUAGGAUGAUGAAGCAAUCCCACUGUCAAAUCAGGUGAUCCCAGUUUUCAUGUUUGGGAAUAUGAGAACUUCUUCGUCAUUCUAAUUAAACAAGGAUGAAUCACGGUGUCAGAAGCUUGAUUUGAAUACAUAAAUUAGUGGAGAAUAACCAGGAAGUUCAAUAAAUUUCAUAGGAGUUAGGAUGAAAAAGCUAUCCCACUUUCAAAGCAAGGGAUCCCUGUUUUCCUGUUUGGGAAAAUGACAACUUUUUCGUCAUUCUAAUCAAACCAGGAUGAAUCGCGAUGUAAGAAGCUUGAUUUGGAUACAUAAAUUAGUGGAGACUCACCAGGAAGUUGAAUAAAUUUUAUAGGAGUUAGGAUGAAGAAACUAUCCCACUUUCAAAGCAAGGGAUCCCAGUUUUCCUGUUUGGGAAAAUGACAACUUCUUCGUCAAUCUAAUCAAACCAGGAUGAGUCGCGAAGUAAAAAUAUUGAUUUGGAUUCAUAAAAUAGUGGAGACUCAACAGGAAGUUGAAUAAACUCAAAGGAGUUAGGAUGAAAAUGCAAUCCCACUUUCAAAUCAGGUGAUCCCACUUUUUCUGUUUGGGAAUAUGACAACUUCUUCGUCAUUCUAAUCAAACCUUGAUGAGUGUCGAUGUAGGAACCUUGAUUUGGAUACAUAAAGUAGUGGAGACUCACCAGGAAGUUGAAUAAAUUUCAUAGGAGUUAGGAUGAAGAAGCUAUCCCACUUUCAAUUUUAUGGUUGGGAAUAUGACAACUUCUUCGUCAUUCUAAUCAAACCUUGAUGAGUGUCGAUGUAGGAACCUUGAUUUGGAUACAUAAAGUAGGAGACAAUCACCAGGAAGUUGAAUAGAUUUUAUAGGAGUUAGGAUGAAGAAGCUAUCUCACUUUCAAAGCAAGGGAUCCCCGUUUUCCUGUUUGGGAAAAUGGCAACUUCUUCAUCAUUCUAAUCAAAACUGGAUGAAUCGUGAUGUAAGAAGCUUGAUUUGGAUACAUAAAGUAGGAGACAAUCACCAGGAAGUUGAAUAGAUUUUAUAGGAGUUAGGAUGAAGAAGCUAUCUCACUUUCAAAGCAAGGGAUCCCCGUUUUCCUGUUUGGGAAAAUGGCAACUUCUUCAUCAUUCUAAUCAAAACUGGAUGAAUCGUGAUGUAAGAAGCUUGAUUUGGAUACAUAAAGUAGGAGACAAUCACCAGGGAGUUGAAUAUAUUUCAUAGGAGUUAGGAUGAAGAAGCUAUCCCCCUUUCAAAGCAAGGGAUUCUAGUUUUCCUGUUUUUGAAUAUGACAACUUCUUCGUCAUUCUAAUAAAACCAGGAUGAGUGUCGAUGUAAGAAGAUUGAUUUGGAUACAUAAAGUAGUGGAGACUCACCAGGAAGUUGAAUAAAUCUCAUAGGAGUUAGGAUGAAGAAGCUAUCCCACUUUCAAAUCAGGUGAUCCCAGUUUUCCAGUUUGGGAAUAUGACAACUUCUUCAUCAUUCUAAUCAAACCAGGAUGAAUCACUGUGUAAGAAGCUUGAUUUGGAUACAUAAAAUAGUGGAGAAUAACCAGGAAGUUAAAUAAAUCUCAUAGGAGUUAGGAUGAAGAAGCUACCUCACUUUCAAAGCAAGGGAUCCCAGUUUUCCUGGUUGGGAAUAUGACAACUUCUUCGUCAUUCUAAUCAAACCAGGAUGAGUCGCGAUGUAAGAAUCUUGAUUUGGAUACAUAAAAUAGUGGAGACUCACCAUGUAGUUGAAUAAACUCAUAGGAGUUAGGAUGAUGAAGCAAUCCCACUUUCAAAUCAGGUGAUCCCAGUUUUCCUGUUUGGGAAUAUGACAACUUCUUCGUCAUUCUAAUAAAAUCAGGAUGAGUGUCGAUGUAAGAAGCUUGAUUUGGAUCCAUAUAGUAGUGGAGACUCACCAGGAAGUUGAAUAAAUCUCAUAGGAGUUAGGAUGAAGAAGCUAUCCCACUGUCAAAUCAGGGGAUCCCAGUUUUCCUGUUUGGGAAUAUAACAACUUUUUCGUUAUUCUAAUCAAACUAGGAUGAAUCGCGAUGUAAGAAGCUUGAUUUGGAUACAAAAAGUAGUGGAGACUCACCAGGAAGUUGAAUAAAUCUCAUAGGAGUUAGGAUGAAGAAGCUAUCCCACUUUCAAAGCAAGGGGUCCCAAUUUUCCGGUUUGGCAAUAUGACAACUUCUUCAUCAUUCGAAUCAAACCAGGAUGAGUCGGGAUGUAAGAAGCUUGAUUUGGAAACAUAAAGUAGGAGACAAUCACCAGGAAGUUGAAUAAAUUUUAUAGGAGUUAGGACGAAGAAACUAUCCCACUUUCAAAGCAAGGGAUCCCCGUUUUCCUGUUUGGGAAAAUGACAACUUCUUCGUCAUUCUAAUCAAACCAGGAUGAAUCGCGAUGUAAGAAGAUCGAUUUGGAUACAUAAAGUAGUGGAGACUCAACAGGAAGUUGAAUAAAUUUCAUAGGAGUUAGGAUGAAGAAGCUAUCCCACUUUCUAAGCAAGGGAUUUCAGUUUUCCUGUUUUUGAAUAUGACAACUUCUUCGUCAUUCAAAUCAAAACAAGAUGAGUCGCGAUGUAAGAAGCUUGAUUUAGAUACAAAAAGUAGUGGACAAUCACCAGGAAGUUGAAUAAAUUUCAUAGGAGUUAGGAUGAAGAAGCUAUCCCACUUUCAAAGCAAGGAUCACAGUUUUCCUGUUUGGGAAAAUGACAACUCCUUCGUCAUUCUAAUCAAACCAGGAUGAAUCGCGAUGUAAGAAGCUUGAUUUGGAUACAUAAAGUAGUGGAGACUCACCAGGAAGUUGAAUUAAUCUCAUAGGAAUUAGUUAUGAUGAUGAAGCUAUCCCACUGUCAAAUCAGGUGAUCUCAGUUUUCCUUUUUGGGAAAAUGACAACUUCUUCGUCAUUCUAAUCAAACCAGGAUGAAUCGCGAUGUAAGAAGUAGUGGAGACACACCAGGAAGUUGAAUUAAUCUCAUAGGAGUUAGGAUAAAGAAACUACCCCACUUUCAAAGCAACGGAUCCCAAUUUUCCUGUUUGAGAAAAUGACAACUUCUUCAUCAGUCUAAUCAAAACCAGGAUGAAUCACGGUGUAAGAAAGUUGAUUUGGAUACAUAAAAUAGUAGAGACUCCCCAGGAAGUUGAAUAAAUCUCAUAGGAGUUAGGAUGAUGAAGCUAUCCCAUUAUCAAAUCAGGUGAUCCCAGUUUUCCUGUUUCGGAAUAUAACAACUUCUUCGUCAUUCUAAUCAAACCAAUAUGAGUCGCGAUGUAAAAAUCUUGAUUUGGAUACAUAAAGUAGUGGACAAUCACCAGGAAGUUCAAUAAAUUUCAUAGGAGUUAGGAUGAAGAAGCUAUCCCACUUUCAAAGGAAGGGAUCCCAAUUUUGCUAAUUGGGAAUAUGACAACUUCUUCGUAUUUCUAAUCAAACCAGGAUGAGUAGCAAUCCCAGGAAGUUGAAUAAACUUAUAGGAGUUAGGAUGAUGAAGCAAUCUCACUUUCAAAUCAGGUGAUCCCAGUUUUCCUGUUUGGGAAUAUUACAACUUCUUCAUCAUUCUAAUAAAACCAGGAUGAGUGUCGACGUAAGAAGCUUGAUUUGGAUACCUAAAGUAGAGGAGACUCACCAGGAAGUUGAAUAAAUCUCAUAGGAGUUAGGAUGAAGAAGCUAUCCCACUGUCAAAUCAGGUGAUCCCAGUUUACCUGUUUGAGAAUAUGACAACUUCUUCGUCAUUCUAAUCAAACCAGGAUGAAUCACGGGGUAAGAAGCUUGAUUUGGAUACAUAAAAUAGUGGAGAAUAACCAGGAAGUUAAAUAAAUCUCAUAGGAGUUAGGAUGAAGAUGCUACCUCACUUUCAAAGCAAGGGAUCCCAGUUUUCCUGUUUGGGAAUAUGACAACUUCUUUGUCAUUCUAAUCAAACCAAGGUGAGUCGCGAUGUAAAAAUCUUGAUUUGGAUACAUAAAAUAGUGAAGACUCACCAGGUAGUUGAAUAAACUCAUAGGAGUUAGGAUGAUGAAGCAAUCCCACUUUCAAAUCAGGUGAUCCCAGUUUUCCUGUUUGGGAAUAUGACAACUUCUUCGUCAUUCUAAUAAAACCAGGAUGAGUGUCGAUGUAAGAAGCUUGAUUUGGAUCCAUAAAGUAGUGGAGACUCACCAUGAAGUUGAAUAAAUCUCAUAGGAGUUAGGAUGAAGAAGCUUUCCCUCUGUCAAAUCAGGUGAUCCCAGUUUUCAUGUUUAGGAAUAUGAUAACUUCUUCGUCAUUCUAAUCAAACCAGGAUGAAUCACGGUGUAAAAAGCUUGAUUUGAAUAAAUAAAGUAGUGGAGAAUAACCAGGAAGUUCAAUAAAUUUCAUACGAGUUAGGAUGAAGAAGCUAUCCCACUUUCAAAGCAAGGGAUCCCUGUUUUCCUGUUUGGGAAAAUGACAACUUCUUCGUCAUUCUAAUCAAUCCAGGAUGAAUCACGGUGUAAGAAUCUUGAUUUGGAUACAUAAAGUAGUGAAGAAUAACAAGGAAGUUAAAUAAAUCUCAUAGGAGUUAGGAUGAAGAAGCUAUCUAACUUUAAAAGCACGGGAUCCCAGUUUUCCUGUUUGGGAAUAUGACAACUUCUUCGUCAUUCUAAUCAAACCAGGAUGAGUCGCGAUGUAAAAAUCAUGAUUUGGAUACAUAAUAUAGUCGAGACUCACCAGGAAGUUGAAUAACCUCAUAGGAGUUAGGAUUAUGAAGCAAUCCCACUUUUAAAUCAGGUGAUCCCAGUUUUUCUUUUUGGGAAUAUAACAACUUCUUCGUCAUUCUAAUAAAACCAAUAUGACUCGCGAUGUAAGAAUCUUGAUUUGGAUACAUAAAGUAGUGGAGACUCACCAGGAAGUUGAAUAAAUCUCAUAGGAGUUAGGAUGAAGAAGCUAUCCAACUGUCAAAUCAGGGGAUCCCAGUUUUCCUGUUUGGGAAUCUGACAACUUCUUCGUCAUUCCAAUCAAACCAGGAUGAAUCGCGAUGUAAGAAGCUUGAUUUGGAUACAUAAACUAGUGGAGACUCACCAGGAAGUUGAAUAAAUUUCAUAGGAGUUAGGAUGAAGAAGUUAUCCCACUUUCAAAACAAGGGAUUCCAGUUUUCCUGUUUGGGAAUAUGACAACUUCUAUGUCAUUCUAAUCAAACCAGGAUGAGUCGCGAUGUAAGAAUAUUGAUUUGGAUACAUAAAGUAGUGGAGACUCACUAGAAAGUUGAAUAAAUGUCAUAGGAGUUAGGAUGAAGAAGGUAUCCAACUUUCAAAGCAAGGGAUCCCAAUUUUUCUGUUUGGGAAAAUGACAACUUCUUCGUCAUUCUAAUCAAACCAGGAUGAAUCACGGUGUAAGAAGCUUGAUUUAGAUACAUAAUGUAGUGGAGAAUCACCAGGAAGUUGAAUAAAUCUCAUAGGAGUUAGGAUGAAGAAGCUAUCCCACUUUCAAAGCAACAAAAGCCAAUUUUCAUGUUUGGGAAUAUCACAACUUUUUCUGCAUUCAAAUCAAACAAGGAUGAGUCGGGAUGUAAGAAGCUUGAUUUGGAAACAUAAUUUAGUGGACAAUCACCAGGAAGUUUAAUAAAUUUCAUAGGAGUUAGGAUGAAGAAGCUAUCCCACUUUCAAAGUAAGGGAUCACAGUUUUCCUGUUUGGGGAAAUGACAACUUCUUCGUCAUUCUAAUCAAACCAGUAUGAAUCGCGAUGUAAGAUGCUUGAUUUGGAUACAUAAAAUAGUGGAGACUGACCAGGAAGUUGAAUAAAUUUCAUAGGAGUUAGGAUGAAGAAGCUAUCCCAUUUUCAAAGCAAGGGAUUCCAAUUUUCUUGUUUGGAAUAUGACAACUUCUUCGUCAUUCUAAUCAAACCAGGAUGAUUCGGGAUGUAAGAAGCUUGAUUUGGAUACAUAAAGUAGUGGACAAUCACCAGAAAAUUGAAUAAAUUUCAUAGGAGUUAGGAUGAAGAAGCUAUACCACUUUCAAAGCAAGGGAUCCCAAUUUUCCUGUUUGGGAAAAUGACAGCUUCUUCGUCAUUCUAAUCAAACCAGGAUGAAUCGCGAUGUAAGAAGCUUGAUUUGGAUACAUAAAGUAGUGGAGACUCACCAGGAAGUUGAAUUAAUCUCAUAGGAAUUAGUUAUGAUGAUGAAGCUAUCCCACUGUCAAAUCAGGUGAUCUCAGUUUUCCUUUUUGGGAAAAUGACAACUUCUUCGUCAUUCUAAUCAAACCAGGAUGAAUCGCGAUGUAAGAAGUAGUGGAGACACACCAGGAAGUUGAAUUAAUCUCAUAGGAGUUAGGAUAAAGAAACUACCCCACUUUCAAAGCAACGGAUCCCAAUUUUCCUGUUUGAGAAAAUGACAACUUCUUCAUCAGUCUAAUCAAAACCAGGAUGAAUCACGGUGUAAGAAAGUUGAUUUGGAUACAUAAAAUAGUAGAGACUCCCCAGGAAGUUGAAUAAAUCUCAUAGGAGUUAGGAUGAAGAAGCUAUUCCACUUUCAAAUCAGGUGAUCCCAGUUUUCCUGUUUGGGAAUAUUACAACUUCUUCAUCAUUCUAAUAAAACCAGGAUGAGUGUCGACGUAAGAAGCUUGAUUUGGAUACCUAAAGUAGAGGAGACUCACCAGGAAGUUGAAUAAAUCUCAUAGGAGUUAGGAUGAAGAAGCUAUUCCACUUUCAAAUCAGGUGAUCCCAGUUUUCCUGUUUGGGAAUAUUACAACUUCUUCAUCAUUCUAAUAAAACCAGGAUGAGUGUCGACGUAAGAAGCUUGAUUUGGAUACCUAAAGUAGAGGAGACUCACCAGGAAGUUGAAUAAAUCUCAUAGGAGUUAGGAUGAAGAAGCUAUUCCACUUUCAAAUCAGGUGAUCCCAGUUUUCCUGUUUGGGAAUAUUACAACUUCUUCAUCAUUCUAAUAAAACCAGGAUGAGUGUCGACGUAAGAAGCUUGAUUUGGAUACCUAAAGUAGAGGAGACUCACCAGGAAGUUGAAUAAAUCUCAUAGGAGUUAGGAUGAAGAAGCUAUUCCACUUUCAAAUCAGGUGAUCCCAGUUUUCCUGUUUGGGAAUAUUACAACUUCUUCAUCAUUCUAAUAAAACCAGGAUGAGUGUCGACGUAAGAAGCUUGAUUUGGAUACCUAAAGUAGAGGAGACUCACCAGGAAGUUGAAUAAAUCUCAUAGGAGUUAGGAUGAAGAAGCUAUUCCACUUUCAAAUCAGGUGAUCCCAGUUUUCCUGUUUGGGAAUAUUACAACUUCUUCAUCAUUCUAAUAAAACCAGGAUGAGUGUCGACGUAAGAAGCUUGAUUUGGAUACCUAAAGUAGAGGAGACUCACCAGGAAGUUGAAUAAAUCUCAUAGGAGUUAGGAUGAAGAAGCUAUUCCACUUUCAAAUCAGGUGAUCCCAGUUUUCCUGUUUGGGAAUAUUACAACUUCUUCAUCAUUCUAAUAAAACCAGGAUGAGUGUCGACGUAAGAAGCUUGAUUUGGAUACCUAAAGUAGAGGAGACUCACCAGGAAGUUGAAUAAAUCUCAUAGGAGUUAGGAUGAAGAAGCUUUCCCUCUGUCAAAUCAGGUGAUCCCAGUUUUCAUGUUUAGGAAUAUGAUAACUUCUUCGUCAUUCUAAUCAAACCAGGAUGAAUCACGGUGUAAAAAGCUUGAUUUGAAUAAAUAAAGUAGUGGAGAAUAACCAGGAAGUUCAAUAAAUUUCAUACGAGUUAGGAUGAAGAAGCUAUCCCACUUUCAAAUCAGGUGAUCCCAGUUUUCAUGUUUAGGAAUAUGAUAACUUCUUCGUCAUUCUAAUCAAACCAGGAUGAAUCACGGUGUAAAAAGCUUGAUUUGAAUAAAUAAAGUAGUGGAGAAUAACCAGGAAGUUCAAUAAAUUUCAUAGGAGUUAGGAUGAAGAAGCUAUCUAACUUUAAAAGCACGGGAUCCCAGUUUUCCUGUUUGGGAAUAUGACAACUUCUUCGUCAUUCUAAUCAAACCAGGAUGAGUCGCGAUGUAAAAAUCAUGAUUUGGAUACAUAAUAUAGUCGAGACUCACCAGGAAGUUGAAUAACCUCAUAGGAGUUAGGAUUAUGAAGCAAUCCCACUUUUAAAUCAGGUGAUCCCAGUUUUUCUUUUUGGGAAUAUAACAACUUCUUCGUCAUUCUAAUAAAACCAAUAUGACUCGCGAUGUAAGAAUCUUGAUUUGGAUACAUAAAGUAGUGGAGACUCACCAGGAAGUUGAAUAAAUCUCAUAGGAGUUAGGAUGAUGAAGCUAUCCCAUUGUCAAAUCAGGUGAUCCCAGUUUUCCUAUUUGAGAAUAUAACAACUUUUCGUCAUUCUAAUCAAACCAGGAUGAAUCACACGGUGUAAGAAGCUUGAUUUGGAUACAUAAUGUAGUGGAGAAUCACCAGGAAGUUGAAUAAAUCUCAUAGGAGUUAGGAUGAAGAAGAUAUCCCACUUUUAUAGGAAGGGAUCCCAGUUUUCCUGUUUGGGAAUAUGACAACUUCUUCGUCAUUCUAAUCAAACCAGGAUGAGUCGUGAUGUCAAAAUCUUGAUUUGGAUACAUAAAAUAGUGGAGACUCAACAGGAAGUUGAAUAAACUCAUAAGAGUUAGGAUGAUGAAGCUAUCCUAUUUUCAAAGAAAGGGAUCCCAGUUUUCCUGUUUGGGAAUAUGACAACUUCUUCGUCACUCUAAUCAAACCAGGAUGAGUCGCGAUCUAAGAAGCUUGAUUUGGAUACAUAAAGUAGUGGACAAUCACCAGGAAGUUGAAUAAAUUUUAUAGGAGUCGGGAUGAAGAAGCUAUCCCACUUUCAAAGCAAGGAUCCCAAUUUUCCUGUUUGGCAAAAUGACAACUCCUUCGUCAUUCUAAUCAAACCAGGAUGAAUCGCGAUGUAAGAAGGUUGAUUUGGAUACAUAAAGUAGUGGAGACUCACAAGGAAGUUGAAUAAAUAUCAUAGGAGUUAGUUAUGAUGAUGAAGCUAUCCCACUGUCAAAUCAGGUGAUCCUAGUUUUCCUGUUUGGCAAAAUGACAACUGCUUCGUCAUUCUAAUCAAACCAGGAUAAAUCGCGAUGUAAGAAGCUUGAUUUGGAUACAUAAAGUAGUGGACAAUCACCAAGAAGUUGAAUAAAUGUCAUAGGAGUUAGGAUGAAGAAGUUAUCCCACUUUAAAAGCAAGGGAUUCCAGUUUUCCUGUUUGGGAAUAUGAUAACUUCUUUGUCAUUCUUAUCAAAUCAGGAUGAGUCGCGAUGUAAGAAUACUGAUUUGGAUACAUAAAAUAGUGGAGACUCAACAAGAAGUUGAAAAAACUCAAAGGAGUUAGGAUGAAAUUGCAAUCCCACUUUCAAAUCAGGUGAUCCUAGUUUUCCUGUUUGGCAAAAUGACAACUGCUUCGUCAUUCUAAUCAAACCAGGAUAAAUCGCGAUGUAAGAAGCUUGAUUUGGAUACAUAAAGUAGUGGACAAUCACCAAGAAGUUGAAUAAAUGUCAUAGGAGUUAGGAUGAAGAAGCUAUCACACCAUCAAAGCAAGGGAUCCUAGUUUUCCUUUUAGGGAAUAAGACAACUUCUUCGUCAUUCUAAUCAAACCAGGAUGAGUCGCGAUGUAAGAAGUUUGAUUUGGAUACAUAAAGUAAUGGAGACUCACUAGGAAGAUGAUUAAAUCUUAUAGGAGUUAGGAUGAAGAAGCUAUCCCAUUGUCAAAUCAGGGGAUCCCAGUUUUCCUGUUUGGAAAUAUGACAACUUCUUCGUCAUUCUAAUCAAACCAGGAUGAAUCGCGAUGUAAGAAGCUUGAUUUGGAUACAUAAAAUAGUGGAGACUCAACAGGAAGUUGAAUAAACUCAUAAGAGUUAGGAUGAUGAAGCUAUCCUAUUUUCAAAGAAAGGGAUCCCAGUUUUCCUGUUUGGGAAUAUGACAACUUCUUCGUCAUUCUAAUCAAACCAGGAUGAAUCGCGAUGUAAGAAGCUUGAUUUGGAUACAUAAAGUAGUGGAGACUCACCAGGAAGUUGAAUAAAUUUCAUAGGGGUUAAGAUGAAGAAGCUAUCCCACUUUCAAAGCAAGGAAUCCUAGUUUUCCUAUUUGGGAAUAUGACAACUUCUUCGUCAUUCUAAUCAAACCAGGAUGAAUCGCGAUGUAAGAAGCUUGAUUUGGAUACAUAAUGUAGUGGAGAAUCACCAGGAAGUUGAAUAAAUCUCAUAUGAGUUGGGAUGAUAAAGCUAUACCACUAUCAAAUCAUGUGAUCCCAGUUUUCCUGUUUGGGAAUAUAACAACUUCUUCGUCAUUAGAAUCAAACCAGGAUGAAUCACGGUGUAAGAAGCUUGAUUUGGAUACAUAAAGUAGUGGACAAUCACCAGGAAGUUGAAUAAAUGUCAUAGGAGUUAGGAUGAAGAAGCUAUCAUACUUUCAAAGCAAGGGAUCCCAGUUUUCCUUUUUAGGAAUAUGACAACCUCUUCCUCAUUUUAAUCAAACCAGGAUGAGUCGCGAUGUAAGAAUCUAGAUUUGGAUACCUAAAAUAGUAGAGACUCACCAGGAAGUUGAAUAAAUGUCAUAGGAGUUAGGAUGAAGAAGCUAUCCCACUUUCAAAUGAAGGGAUCUCAGUUUUCCUGUUUGGGAAUAUGACAACUUUUUCGUCAUUCUAAUC
Molecule: long non-coding RNA, 16985 nt
Filed under: Brassica napus (rape)
Lineage: Eukaryota; Viridiplantae; Streptophyta; Magnoliopsida; Brassicales; Brassicaceae
Description: long non-coding RNA (BNAP_LNC026578)
Source: RNAcentral